UGGACAACAAAACCUUCAUCAAUAAAUUAAAAGUUCAGACAACAAACUAAUAGAGCUGUUUGCAACAUAAUUUAAAUUGAUAAAAAAUAAAUUUUAAUAAAUAUGAAGAAAUAAUAAUUUUAUUGAUAAACGAUAUGGGUACAAAUUUGCUCCUCCCUUGAUUCUUCAGUAGCAUAUUUCUUGAAUGUACUUCUCUCAUGAUUUUUUCCGUAAUUCGAGGGCCGUCAGUAGCAUAUUUCUCGAAUGUAUGAAGAUUUGGAUAUGAAUUUCUCCGUAAUUCGAGGGCCUUUAGUGGCGUAUUUCUAGUAACAUUUGGAUUUGAGGGUUUGUUUUCUCCGUAAUUCGAGGGCCGUUAGUGGCGUAUUUCUAGGAACAUUUGGAUUUGAGAGUUUUUUUUCUCCGUAAUUCGAGGGUUGUUAGUGGUGUAUUUCUACACAUUUGGAUUUGAUGUAUUUGAUUAUUUAUGAAUAUCCCAUGAAUUUAUUGGGACGUUUCAGAUCG
This 501-nucleotide long non-coding RNA is filed under the name Capsicum annuum. RNAcentral describes it as "long non-coding RNA (CANN_LNC011375)". The record is from RNAcentral. Lineage: Eukaryota; Viridiplantae; Streptophyta; Magnoliopsida; Solanales; Solanaceae.